This 462-nucleotide ribosomal RNA is filed under the name uncultured bacterium. RNAcentral's name for it is "partial 16S ribosomal RNA". It matches the Rfam family "Bacterial small subunit ribosomal RNA", at positions 29 to 507 of the family's 1533-position model. The record is from RNAcentral.
GUGCACGCUGGCGGCGUGCCUAAUACAUGCAAGUCGAACGAUGAAGUCCUAGCUUGCUAGGAUGGAUUAGUGGCGCACGGGUGAGUAAUAUAUAGUUAAUCUGCCCUACACAGAGGAACAACAGUUGGAAACGACUGCUAAUACCUCAUACUCCUAUUUGACAUAAGUUAAAUAGGGAAAGUCUUUUCGGUGUAGGAUGAGACUAUAUCGUAUCAGCUAGUUGGUAAGGUAAUGGCUUACCAAGGCUAUGACGCGUAACUGGUCUGAGAGGAUGAUCAGUCACAUUGGAACUGAGACACGGUCCAAACUCCUACGGGAGGCAGCAGUAAGGAAUAUUGCGCAAUGGGGGAAACCCUGACGCAGCAACGCCGCGUGGAGGAUGACACUUUUCGGAGCGUAAACUCCUUUUAUCAGGAAAGAAUAAUGACGGUACCUGAUGAAUAAGCACCGGCUAACUCCGUG